CGAAUGGAAGGGUUGGCGGUUGGAAUUCACCCAGUGGCUCCGUGGGAAAAAAGACCUGGUGAUCUGCUUCCGUGAAGAUUACAGCCUAGGAAACCCUAUGGGGCAGAUCUACUCUGUCACAUGGGGUCGCUAUGAGUCGGAAUCGACUGGAAGGCACCCAACAACAACAACUGCAAAGAAGACUUCCCUUUCCAUAAAAGUCCUGCUGCAGAAUGGGCACCCCACCCAAGGAGUGGGGCUGCCUCAAUCUGCCCCCACAUACCUGCGUAAAAGAACUUCUUCAGAUGGCAUAAACACUUCAGAAGAUUCUACAGCACCCUGUGCCUCUCCACGGCCCCCCUGUGAGGAUACAAGAUGUACAGCUGAGAAGUUACAGGAGAACGAUCCUAGCAAAUUUAGAUUUCUUGAACAGAUACCGAGCAACUUUAUGUGCUUGGCACGCUCUCAAUGCUUCCACAUCCAUGCUUUCACCUGAGCUGCUAAACACACCUGUGGGCCCGGUGUCACAUCCAUUUUUACAGAUACGGGAACUGAGACUCUGAGGGGUUUCCUGAGAUCAAAUACCUGUUAAGGGGUAGGGCCAGGUUUUCAAAGCAGGUCUUACUGGUUCCAAAUCCCGUACACCUUUGAAAAACAAGUCUGCCCCUCCACCAGGGUAGAGUUGGAAGUUUGUGUGGGUGCGGGGCAUGUUAAGGCAAACUUGCUUAAAAAAUGAAAUCUUACCUGGGCCCUUAACACAAUAGCAGAAAGAGCACUAGAUCAGCCAUCAGAAAUUCUUCUAGACCCAGCUCUGUCUUUAAUGAGCCAUAUAUCCCUGGGCAAAAUUUUUCCCUCUCUGAGUCUCAGUUUCCUUGACUAUAAAAUUGUGGUGGAAAGGCUGGAUGAAGUGGUCUCAAAGAACCACCCAUCUUCAAUGCUUCUCUAUACCUGCUUCACAGAUGCUGUGCUGUCCCUGAAUCACAAAACCCAAUCCUGGUACCUAAGUCAGAACCUUAAAAAGAGCAGCCCUAAUAAAACUCAGAUUGUCAAGCUAUGUGGACUCAAACCACAAAACUAUAUAUAUUUUUUUAGAGAUGUUAUAUAGAUACUGUCUUCCCUUCCUAGUUCCAUCCUGCUCAUUUUUUGUGGAAUUCUGUUUCUGAGAAUAACUUGGGCUUCUGUUGCACUUGAGCUUUUGGAGCCUUCUGCAGCAGGAAACAAGAGACAGGGAUGUUGAAAAGCUGUAGUGGGGUGUGGUAGCAGAAGGAGAGCUGAGGCACAAAGAAUUGGAAGGACUUGGGCAAACUGUGGGCCCAGAUAAAAAAGGGAAAAACCCCAAAACCUUUUGAAGAAACUGUAAGGAAUUGUUAGGGAGCUAAAAAAUUUAAAAGGAGGGACUGGAAUAAUGGGGCCCUGCAUGAUUUCAGCGAAUUAAAAAUGUGACUU
Molecule: long non-coding RNA, 1425 nt
Organism: Trichechus manatus latirostris (Florida manatee)
Lineage: Eukaryota; Metazoa; Chordata; Mammalia; Sirenia; Trichechidae
Exons: 3
Source: RefSeq, a predicted model, not a curated record